Molecule: ribosomal RNA, 796 nt
Filed under: Ophiosphaerella taiwanensis
Lineage: Eukaryota; Fungi; Ascomycota; Dothideomycetes; Pleosporales; Phaeosphaeriaceae
Description: partial large subunit ribosomal RNA
Rfam family: Eukaryotic large subunit ribosomal RNA
Source: RNAcentral
UGCCCUAGUAACGGCGAGUGAAGCGGCAACAGCUCAAAUUUGAAAUCUGGCUCUUUCAGAGUCCGAGUUGUAAUUUGCAGAGGGCGCUUUGGCGUUGGCAGCGGUCCAAGUUCUUUGGAACAGGACGUCACAGAGGGUGAGAAUCCCGUACGUGGUCGCUAGACUUCGCCGUGUAAAGCCCCUUCGACGAGUCGAGUUGUUUGGGAAUGCAGCUCUAAAUGGGAGGUAAAUUUCUUCUAAAGCUAAAUACUGGCCAGAGACCGAUAGCGCACAAGUAGAGUGAUCGAAAGAUGAAAAGCACUUUGGAAAGAGAGUCAAAUAGCACGUGAAAUUGUUGAAAGGGAAGCGCUUGCAGCCAGACUUGCCUGUAGUUGCUUAUCCAGACUUUUGUCUGGUGCACUCUUCUAUAGGCAGGCCAGCAUCAGUUUGGGCGGUUGGAUAAAGGUCUCUAUCACGUACCUCUCUUCGGGGAGGCCUUAUAGGGGAGACGACAUACAACCAGCCUGGACUGAGGUCCGCGCAUCUGCUAGGAUGCUGGCGUAAUGGCUGUAAGCGGCCCGUCUUGAAACACGGACCAAGGAGUCUAACAUCUAUGCGAGUGUUUGGGUGUCAAGCCCAUACGCGUAAUGAAAGUGAACGGAGGUGGGAACCUUUUAGGUGCACCAUCGACCGAUCCUGAUGUCUUCGGAUGGAUUUGAGUAAGAGCAUGGCUGUUGGGACCCGAAAGAUGGUGAACUAUGCUUGAAUAGGGUGAAGCCAGAGGAAACUCUGGUGGAGGCUCGCAGCGGUUCUGACG